RNAcentral lists this ribosomal RNA (508 nucleotides) under uncultured bacterium. RNAcentral describes it as "bacterial SSU rRNA". It matches the Rfam family "Bacterial small subunit ribosomal RNA", at positions 16 to 518 of the family's 1533-position model. The record is from RNAcentral.
AUUAUGGCUCAGGAUGAACGCUAGCGGCAGGCUUAACACAUGCAAGUCGAGGGGCAUCGGGAGUAGCAAUACUGCCGGCGACCGGCGCAAGGGUGCGUAACGCGUGAGCAACAUGCCCGUAUCAGGGGGGAUAAUCCAUGGAAACGUGGUCUAAUACCCCAUAGUAAUUAUGUAAGGCAUCUUAUAUAAUUUAAAGCUUUGGUGGAUACGGAUUGGCUCGCGUGACAUUAGCUAGAUGGUAAGGUAACGGCUUACCAUGGCUACGAUGUCUAGGGGUUCUGAGAGGAAGGUCCCCCACACUGGAACUGAGACACGGUCCAGACUCCUACGGGAGGCAGCAGUGAGGAAUAUUGGACAAUGGAUGGAAAUCUGAUCCAGCCAUGCCGCGUGCAAGGAAGACGGCCCUAUGGGUUGUAAACUGCUUUUGUAUGGGAGCAAUAAGGGCUACGCGUGGUCCGAUGAGAGUACCAUACGAAUAAGCACCGGCUAACUCCGUGCCAGCCGCCGC